UUGCACAGUGAGCAUCCAAGUGUGCUUCGUAGUUCCCUUGGCCUUGACACUGUGCUAGAGCAAUGUCUGGUCUUUUCGUCUGCACUGAAAGGCACGUUCAUCCUUUCAAAUGUAUUCAAAAGGCCAGCACACCU
Echinops telfairi (small Madagascar hedgehog) is the source of this 134-nucleotide small nucleolar RNA. The record is from Ensembl. NCBI's taxonomy places the organism in Eukaryota, Metazoa, Chordata, Mammalia, Afrosoricida, Tenrecidae.